Molecule: long non-coding RNA, 6881 nt
Organism: Mustela lutreola (European mink)
Lineage: Eukaryota; Metazoa; Chordata; Mammalia; Carnivora; Mustelidae
Exons: 4
Source: RefSeq, a predicted model, not a curated record
GAAAGGUGGACGCCGUUGCCUCCUGGCAGCUGCCAAAGCAAGAACAUGACCAUGGACUCAGUGCUCUCAGGAGAAAGUGAAGACAUUUUCCCAUGAACAUUUCCCAUUUCCAUGUACUUUGGUGCCUUCUGCUCUAAGCUGAAAGAUGUGGACACAGGUGAUGACCCCGAGUAAUUGCUCCAGGAUCCACACGUACCACAGAGGAGCUGAGAUCUAAACCCAGGCCACUGGUUCUAGAACCUGUGCUCCCCACCCCUGUAUCAUUGGCCUCUUCCCACAAAGACUCAUUUCAGAAAGUCGAAUAUCGUGCACAAACAGCACCAGGCUCCAAAACCACUGCAGGCAGGACGCCAAUAAGCUGGAGACGGGACGGGUCCUAACACUGGUGGUACGGGCUCCGCUGUCGUAUCCUGCAGGCGCACAAGCAACCCACCGGCAGAGGAAAAGCUGUGGAAAGGCACCCGGAUCGCAAGGCCCCUGGCUCGCGUGACCCGACCCCAGGAGAAGCAGCCCAGUUACCCGACAUCGUGGUCAGCAGCAGCUGGGGCGCUGGCUGGGUGCUGGAGCUCCAGGCACUCGGCGCCUCCCAGGGCCCCUGUGCAGGGAGAGAAGCAGAGAUGCAACAUUUUUAAAGUUUCACAAAGCAUCCAGCUGCACCCAGAUUCCCGGAGCAGGAGACAAACAGAAUUAAUGUUUUAUACCUUCGGGUAUAGGUUUGAGUUUUCCCCCCCUCAUGCCAAGUAUUUAAAACCUCUAGAAACCCAUGAUUUGACAAUCAAUGAUUGCGCGAUACUUUCAAUUUGAAUAUUCAAAGGCUUAACAAAAUGGACUAUCUUCUGCAGAAAUCCUGCACACAGACACCCCACAGACAGCCCAAAGAAACAGGGAUUGAGACCCCUUUGUGUCCCGGGCCUUGCUUUUAUUGUAUUUUAAACAUUUUGCCCACCUUUCCACAGACAGAGCAGGAGUCCUCAAAGAUGCUCUGUAUUUCUGCCUCAAAGGCAGCUCUGGGAUCCCUGAGUGAUUUAGGGGGCCCUUCUUGACCCCUGGAGCCAGGCUGGCCCACCAGACUGAUUCCUGGAUCCCUAGUCUUCAAUUUAAGGGAAAAUCUCAGGUUUUGGGGAGUGACCUUGGCAGCCAGUAGGUACCACACAGCAGGGAGUCCCUCUGGCCCCAGGUUGCAGGCCGCAGGCCCCGCAGAGGCCUCUGCCUCGUGCCUCAUCUCCUCCUGGCCCCGCCUGGCCACCAGCGGCUUGCUUGCUUGCCUUUGGCCAGCUCUCUGACUGGGCCCCAGACCCUGCUGGUUCAAAACAGAAUGCCUGCCCAGUAAGACCCUUUGCUUGUCCACCAGGAGCUGGGAUGUCUGUGCAGCCUCACCCUUGAGAUUUUCUGAGGCUGGCGUUUCUUGCCCUGGGAAGCCCCCCCCGCUCUCCUCUCGCUCUGGCUCGAGCCAUCCCUGCCCUUUUUGCUGCACGAGUAUGGGUUGAGAAACCUUGAUCUUGGUUCUUCCUCAUUUUAGCUGAAAGGACAUGGCUUUGUGUUCAGGCCUUCACACUCUGCAUGAGAGGUGGGAGAUUCCAGACACAGGGCUGCCAGGCUGGGGAAGCUGAGCCCCUCCCAAAUGACUUAACUGUGCUGGGUUAUGUUCUCCAAGCACGUGUUGUGUCUCUUGUGUGUGAUUUGGAAGCUCAGGGAAACAGGAGUGGUGUCCAGAGAGGAAGUCAGUGCCAGGCCAGAUCCCCUUCUAGCCCCUGGGGGGAAGAGAGAAGCCCCAGAAGACAGAGAGUCAGGAGGGGGUUCCCUCUGCAAAUAAGCCAAGACACUCCCAGGAUGCCAGUCCAGGCGAUGGUUAUGCGCCCUGUUCCCUGAGUUCUCUGCAAUGCCAGGAGUGGGGCUGAGCCCCGUAGGCCACCAGAAAAAUAAUCUGUAUUCCCUUGAGUGUGUCCACUGGACGGUAGGAAUGGGGGUCUCCGAGGUGACAAGGCACCGGGAGUCUGGGAUGGGGAGGAGCUAGGCUUGGCAGGGGAUCUGGGCUGGGAGCACUUGAGAUGGCACCUGGCCCUGGAGGGCAGGAUGGGGUGUGUCUGUCUCUAGUCCCUCUGGACUCUGUCAGCCUCUGCAGUCUCUUUCCACAGAGGCCUUUGAGCCUGGAUCGUGUCUCCCUGUUGGGCGUCGGGCCUGGGGACCAGACUCGUGAGGAGGGGAAGGACCCUGGUUGUUCAGAGAGCCCCUGUUUCCUGUCUCCCUGCCGGGCCUGGUCUGGGCACUGCUCCUUCUGAUGGAAGAGCGAACAAACCUGGGGACGGGGGAGGGGCUCUUGUCCUCAAAGCUUGGUUCAUUGUUUCUUUUCUCUUUUGCCUUCCUCCUUUUUGUUUUCCACCUAUUUUUGGUUUGCUUUUUAAGAUCUUCCUUUUGGACUUCCUAUUUACUUUUUUCCAACUUCCUUCCUCGCUUCCUCCCGUCCCCUCUUCCUUCCUUUUUUCUUUCUCACUUUUUGUCACUGCCUUCCUCCAUUUCUUGCCUGCAUUGCUGUUUUUCUCCCUGGCCCCGAGUCUAUUCUGGGGAGCUUUCUCAUGUUUUCGGGCUUCCUUUCCUCACUAACCUCUCAUUUUGCUUGGAGAUGGGCAGCGGUGCUAGGAGGCCGCUGAGUUCCCUCGGCGACAUCGCUGAGGCUGAGGCUGAGGUUCAGCUACGCGGUAUUUGCUGAAGGCAGCCAGAGGUUGACGGCCGCAAGACACGAGAUCCUUGGAAGUCACAGGGUCUGUAGACACCGUGAGGAACGCUGCCCCUUCCUUAAAAAGCCUCUGCCUGGACCAUGGCAGCCUUUCUGGGGGUUUCUGUGUUGGGAGGGAUGUUCGAGCACCAGCACUAGCCAGCAAUUUCAGAAAACUGGGUUUCCUCAUGCCUCAGCUCUGUUUUGAGAAACGCGUCUCCCAGUUUUUACCUCUAUAUAAAGGAGUUUGGGUUGCUAUAAUUUGUAUAAUUGCAAAACCCCAGCACAGAUAUUUAAGAUCCAAUCAUCACACUUGUGGGUGAAAGGGAGAGUCCUUUCUAGAAAGUCCCAUCAGUCUUACCUCCAGAUCCCCGUGGGUCACGAGGCCUGGAGCAACCAGGUCUACCCCAGGACCCCAUGGAGUUGGAUGGUCCUCCCAGGAGACUAUUUUUUUUUUAAAAGGUGUUAUUUAGUGAGUGUUUAUUGGACAUGAGGCACUGUCUUGUACAGUCUCCGCAUUUCACAGAUGAGGCUCGGAGGGUUAAGCGAUGCGCCCAAGAUUCUUGAGCACAUAAAUGGCAGGAUUGGGUCUCAAACUCUGGUAAAUCUGAGGCUAACACUCUCUCUCUCUUAACUCUCAGUGUUGUCUUCCUGAGCCUUUAUAACAGAGGCUUGCAAACUUUUUGGACUUCAACCCACGAUAAUAAAUCCAUUUUAUAUGUUCACAUACUAUAUAACAACAUUCACAUGCUUAUUUAACAAAUUCCUCAUGCAACAAUGUACAUCUACGUAUACGAGGUAUUCUGACAUACUCUAUCCUAUCUUUUCCAUUUCAUUCUAUUUGUGAAAAAUAUAUUUGUGAGAAAUCUAUGCUGGGAGUCAGGAAGAUCAUUUGCUGAGCCACGAAUGAGUUGUGACCAGCACUGGAAAAAUUCUGUGAGACAGGCAAGCACACUUGCCCCCACGGUGCAUGUGGAAGUGUUUCGAAGUGUUCUUGGUGUUUCUGUCAGGGCGUGCGAGGAGACCGAGGCAGGGCGGUGUACUGACGUGGAAGGAUUCUGUAGAGACGGGGGCACCAGAACCCCUGAAGGGGAGCCCGGCUGGAGGAGAGGGUGAACUGCUCGUUAAGGACAGUGUUACCAAACCUUGAGGGGAAUAUCAAGUUCCAGAAACAUGGCAGAAGCAAGUCCUUCCUGGGCCCAGAGUGAAGUUUAGUCUGUAGGAAAAUGACCAGGAAGACUCACAGCUGGAGGUUGUUUAAUGAUUUGUGGUGACUCAGUCUCGUCCCAUAAAACAUCUGAAGUUUUUACUUUCCCUCAAGAAGCUUCUGUAGGGAAGAAGCAUUUGAUAAUUUAUCAUUCAAAUAAGGAAAAUACUGUCAGAUACUGCUUGACAAGUUCAUCUUGAACUUAAGACAUUUUCUUGUGCAAUAUUUGAGAUAUAUAAAAAUAUAUAAAGAUGCCUGUGAUAAAAGCCUAUGAAUAUGAAUAUAUGAAUAUGAAUAUAUUACCAAGGUUAAGAAAGAAAAGAAAAUAAAGUGACCUUUCAUUUAAGACUAACUUAAUUUAUUGAGCAUUAAACUUUUGGAUGAUUCCACUCAAGAUAUUUCAUUAGGAAGAAGGUCAGUAGGGAUAUUUAUCAGUUUUCCUAAUGCAGAAGAGUUCCUUCUUAAAUAUUAUUUGUUUUGUCCACAUUUUCUUCCCUUUGGAACUUGUGAAGAUUUUUUACUGUCCUCCUCUUUUGGCCUGUAAUACGCUAACAAUGAUAGUGCCAAUUGCAAACCCACACAUCUUAUUUAUCAGAGGUUAAGAGCAGAGGACAUUUCUGUAGCAAAGAUCAAAGAUAACAUCAUGUUAUCACUUACAGAUAAUAUUAGAAGAUUUCCUUAUUAUUUCUUUAACCUGAUCUUCAGGGAUUCUGGCUCCGUAUCUAUUUGUCCUGUUUGUCUUAAUUCCAGCAGAGAUAACACCCAACUUUGAAUAUCUUUUAUUUGUAAGAUUUCUUAACAACCUAUUAUAGUACAUGUAGCUACUAAAUGAAUAUAUAACCAUUUUUAUAUGGUUAUAUAUAACCUACGUCGAAGUUCAGUAGUAUUCCUUUUUGGAGAUAUUUAAAAAUACUAAGCCAAUCAUCUUAAAUAUAUUACCACUGCUACUAUCAGCUUUUGCAGAGAUGAUGUCUAAUGUGAAACACUAAACGUGGUAGGGUUUUCCCACGUAUCAGUCCCAGAGAGAUGUCACCCAUAGAGUCAAGGUCUAAAGAGUGAAUCUUUUUUGUGGUAUAAUUUUAAGUUCAAUUUAACAAAGAUUUUGCUGAGCACCUGGAACAUGCUGGGCUCUAAGCUGGGCGCUGGGGACCCAGGGCUGAGCCAUUCCUAAGUCCUGACUGGAUGAGUCCGGUCAGAGACUCACUUUUUAGCUACAGUGGCUGAUUUCGCAUUUAGGCUCUCUAGAGUCAGUACUUACUGAAUAUGGCCCGUAAAGGAACAGUGUAGUUUUUUUUUUUUUUUUUUUUUUUUAACACAAAGGAUACUUGAGACAGAACCCAAAGAUAGGACCUAAAGAAAGUAUGAUUUUGGUGUAGGGUUGGUAGAAUUGCUCUAAUGUUAAGGCGACUUUAACCUUGGAUCCAGCCAUUGUAGUCAUUUCAGUUUUUUAAGGGUUACUGAUGUUUUAUUUCUUGUGAAUAUAUUAUUUAGAUUGACAUAUUAAAGAAAGGAGCACAAAGAUGCCAGUAAUACUCCUUUUCAAAAAGAUUUUAUUUUUGUGUGUGAGAGAGAAAGGGAGGGUGAGAUUGAGAGAGCACAAACCCGAGCAGGAGGAAGGGUAGAGGGAGAAGCAGGAAGCCAGAUGCAGGGCUCUAUCCUAGGACACCGGGAUCCUAGGACACCGGGAUCCUGAGCCAAAGGCAGACGCUUAACUGACUGAGCUACCCAGGUGCUCAAAUAGUAAUACAUAUUUAUGUGUGUGCGUGAGUGUGUGUGUACACAUCUGUAUGUGGGUACAUGUGUAUUUUACUUUAAGGGUUAGGAAUUCUCCCUUUUUGGGGUUUCAUGUUGAGAAUGCUAGUACUUCAGAGUACUAGAGUAUUUCCUGACCUCCCACAAGAGUACCAUUAUAUCCCAUUAUUAACUGAGCUGUAGCAAAUCAUACUGCUCAUGUAAGAGCAUUUAUAAAACAAAGUAAAGAUGUGGUUUUCUUUCAUUCUUUGGGGUUUGCAUACCAUUACAAGAGGAACAUAAACAUUCUCAACUACACGCUGUUAAUGUCCAUUUCCAGUGAUUUUAGGGAGUACUGUGUAUCACAGUUUUUGCAGGGAGAAAAUUCACUUUCUGGUUCUUCUUGACAUUAUUAUCUAGCUAGCUUUCUUGGGUGACUUGAACUUGCCAUCAUCAUCUCUGCUUACUUUCAACCUUAAAGGACCUAAAAGAGAUAGUGUUUUGAACCUGAGUUCUCUGAUUUUCCCUGCUUUCCCCAGCAAAGUUAUGAGCUUGAGGAUAGCAGGUUUAAAGAAUCAGAGGGAGAGAGGAUAUAUAUAUAUUUUUCCUGAUGCUGACAUUGUGGAUUAUUGUGCCCAGAUGCAGUAAGUCUCCGAGGUGCAGAGGGACGGAGAGCACACUGGAGUGGGAAAUGGGAUAGAAUAAUGGGAUUCAGUUCCGUGUCAUAAUUUUGUAGCUUGGUUUCACUUUUUGACAAAGUAUUGUCAAUCCCCAGAACAGUAAACCAGAACCAAAUUGAAAUAUAUGUAAUAAUAUAGAAACACAUUGUCAAACUAACUAGAAUGCCUAAAAAUCAUUUACUGCUUGGAAUUACAAACAUCACCUCCCACACCUCUAUCCCCUUUAGACCAGGUAGCUGAAAUGGGUACUAGAUGCCGUACGGGCCCGUGUAUGUCUCCUUUCUUGUAAAUCAGUUUUGCGAAGCAUCAUGAAAGGGCUGAGAUGCUUUAAGAAGAAUGUGCAUUGCAGUGCAUUUCCUGCAUUUCCCUCCAGGAAAUGAGGGAAUGGCUGCUAAGCUUUCCUUACCUGAGGGCCAGCGCGUCCUUAGGUUGUGAGAUGAACAUAAUCUGUGAGAAGACAAGUGCAGACCAAGGGAAGUGAGCAGGUCUAACAUUUAGCUUUACGACCAAACCCAAGUUAAAGCCAAUAAAGACACUCUGAUGGUCUACC